This 440-nucleotide ribosomal RNA is filed under the name uncultured bacterium. RNAcentral's name for it is "partial 16S ribosomal RNA". It matches the Rfam family "Bacterial small subunit ribosomal RNA", at positions 338 to 795 of the family's 1533-position model. The record is from RNAcentral.
ACUACGGGAGGCAGCAGUGGGGAAUAUUGCACAAUGGGGGAAACCCUGAUGCAGCGACGCCGCGUGAGUGAAGAAGUAUCUCGGUACGUAAAGCUCUAUCAGCAGGGAAGAUAAUGACGGUAUCUGACCAAGAAGCCCCGGCUAACUACGUGCCAGCAGCCGCGGUAAUACGUAGGGGGCAAGCGUUAUCCGGAUUUACUGGGCGUAAAGGGAGCGUAGACGGCAGCACAAGUCUGGAGUGACAUCCCGGGGCUUAACCCCGGAACGGCGUUGGAAACUGUGCGGCUGGAGGGCAGGAGGGGUAAGCGGAAUGCCUAGUGUAGCGGUGAACGGCGUAGAUAUUAGGAGGAACACCGGUGGCGAAGGCGGCUUACUGGACUGUAACUGACGUUGAGGCACGAAAGCGUGGGUAUCGAACAGGAUUAGAUACCCGGGUAGUC